RNAcentral lists this ribosomal RNA (421 nucleotides) under uncultured bacterium. RNAcentral describes it as "bacterial SSU rRNA". It matches the Rfam family "Bacterial small subunit ribosomal RNA", at positions 355 to 774 of the family's 1533-position model. The record is from RNAcentral.
UAAGGAAUAUGGGUCAAUGGACGCAAGUCUGAACCAGCCAUGCCGCGUGAAGGAUGAAGGUCCUCUGGAUUGUAAACUUCUUUUAUCUGGGACGAAAACGGGAUUUUUAUCUCAAUUGACGGUACCAGAGGAAUAAGCACCGGCUAACUCCGUGCCAGCAGCCGCGGUAAUACGGAGGGUGCGAGCGUUAUCCGGAUUUACUGGGUUUAAAGGGUGCGUAGGUGGGCUUAUAAGUCAGUGGUGAAAUCUCCGAGCUUAACUUGGAAACUGCCGUUGAUACUAUAGGUCUUGAAUUAUCUGGAGGUAAGCGGAAUAUGUCAUGUAGCGGUGAAAUGCUUAGAUAUGACAUAGAACACCAAUUGCGAAGGCAGCUUACUACAUAUAAAUUGACGCUGAGGCACGAAAGCGUGGGGAUCAAACA